Small nuclear RNA from Delphinapterus leucas (beluga whale), 103 nucleotides. The record is from Ensembl. NCBI's taxonomy places the organism in Eukaryota, Metazoa, Chordata, Mammalia, Artiodactyla, Monodontidae.
GUGCUCACUUCAGCAGCACAUAUACAAAAAUUGGAACUAUACAGAGAUUAGCAUGGCCCCGUGCAAGGGUGACACACAAAUUUAUGAAGCAUUCCAUGUUUGU